Molecule: ribosomal RNA, 356 nt
Filed under: uncultured bacterium
Lineage: Bacteria
Description: bacterial SSU rRNA
Rfam family: Bacterial small subunit ribosomal RNA
Source: RNAcentral
GCGUUAUCCGGAAUUAUUGGGUUUAAAGGGUGCGUAGGCGGCCNGAUAAGUCAGGGGUGAAAGUCNGCAGCUCAACUGUCGCAGUGCCUUUGAUACUGUUUGGCUUGAAUUCGGUUGAAGAUGGCGGAAUGANACANGUAGCGGUGAAAUGCAUAGAUAUGUCUCAGAACCCCGAUUGCGAAGGCAGCUAUCUNAGCCGUUAUUGACGCUGAUGCACGAAAGCGUGGGUAGCAAACAGGAUUAGAUACCCUGGUAGUCCACGCCCUAAACGAUGAUAACUCGAUGUUGGCGAUAUACAGUCAGCGUCUUAGCGAAAGCGUUAAGUUAUCCACCUGGGGAGUACGCCGGCAACGGUG